RNAcentral lists this unclassified non-coding RNA (284 nucleotides) under Glomeromycotina sp. RNAcentral describes it as "partial contains small subunit ribosomal RNA, internal transcribed spacer 1, and 5.8S ribosomal RNA". The stretch from base 1 to 47 matches the Rfam family "Eukaryotic small subunit ribosomal RNA", at positions 1785 to 1831 of the family's 1831-position model. The record is from RNAcentral. Lineage: Eukaryota; Fungi; Glomeromycota.
AAAGUCGUAACAAGGUUUCCGUAGGUGAACCUGCGGAAGGAUCAUUAACACGUAUCCAUACGUAUUAUAUACCAAACCGUGAACUUGUUUGUAAUAAUUUGAAGGAAGAAGUGAAGUUAGCUAGACAAUAGCUAAUGAAUCGACUUUCUGUAUCUUAUUCAACCUUAUAAACCACUUGUAACCAAUCGAACUAAACCUAAGAAUAUGAAUCGAGUAAAAUCGAAGCAUAUUUUUGUAUUUACGAAACGUAAAAACAAUUCUUAGCAACGGAUAUCUUGGUUCUC